RNAcentral lists this ribosomal RNA (301 nucleotides) under uncultured bacterium. Its description in RNAcentral is "partial 16S ribosomal RNA". It matches the Rfam family "Bacterial small subunit ribosomal RNA", at positions 509 to 807 of the family's 1533-position model. The record is from RNAcentral.
CAGUAGCCGCGGUAAUACAGAGGGUCCGAGCGUUAAUCGGAUUUACUGGGCGUAAAGCGUGCGUAGGCGGCUUCUUAAGUCGGAUGUGAAAUCCCUGAGCUUAACUUAGGAAUUGCAUUCGAUACUGGGAAGCUAGAGUAUGGGAGAGGAUGGUAGAAUUCCAGGUGUAGCGGUGAAAUGCGUAGAGAUCUGGAGGAAUACCGAUGGCGAAGGCAGCCAUCUGGCCUAAUACUGACGCUGAGGUACGAAAGCAUGGGGAGCAAACAGGAUUAGAUACCCCUGUAGUCCCUGUCUCUUAUAC